RNAcentral lists this long non-coding RNA (8678 nucleotides) under Aquilegia coerulea. Its description in RNAcentral is "long non-coding RNA (ACOE_LNC001902)". The record is from RNAcentral. Lineage: Eukaryota; Viridiplantae; Streptophyta; Magnoliopsida; Ranunculales; Ranunculaceae.
AACUCGGCUCGUUACUAACCGAGCCGAGCUCAAAAUUAAGAUCGAGCUGAAUUAUGAGCUCGAGCUCGGCUCGCGAGCCAACAGUAAAACUCGAGCUCGGCUCAUUUUGGCUCGCUGGCUCGUUUGAUUAACAAGAUUCUACAUUUCUACUUGAAGAAGAAGGUUGUGAUGUUUGUUGUUGGUGAGAUCCAGAAAAGCAGCAGAUCAACAACACCCAAAUCUUAUUCUCCAUGCGAAUAUGCGAUGCGAUCUACUACUAAUACUUAUAACUACAAAUAAUAACAAACUGUCUGUAAUACUGUACCACCACCACCACCACCACCACCACCAAGAAUUAAUUAAUUAAUUAAUCUGUUGUUUUGUUGACAAGCCAUUAAUGCUUUGCUUUGGUUUGCUUGGUUGCUAGAUUCGAUUUGCUUUUGAGAUGUGUACAGCAAUUAGCAAGUUUCCAAGACCAAGGUAGCCCUCUACUAGGCUAGAGAGAGAGAAGAGAGAAGAGAAGAGAGAUAUAGAGCAAUUAGCAGGCCUCCCUCGGCCUCUACUACAGUAUAGCUGGCACGAUAGGCGAGAGAGAGAAAGAGAAAGAGCGAACAACAAUCCAAAACCACCCGCUUUUUCACUUUGAAGAAUUGAAGAAUUGAAGAGAGAAGAGAGAAGAGAGAUAAGCCCAAGGCCCAACUCCCAAGCCCAUAGUUAACGAGCUGCUCGGCUCGGCUCGUUUAGAGCUCGAGCUCGGCUCGGGCUCGUGACGAGCUCGAGCUUGGCUCGGGCUCGUGACGAGCUCAAAAACCGGCUCGAACUCGGCUCGUUUAGAUAAAUGAGCGAGCCGAUCCGAGCUUUUAUCGAGCCGAGCCCGAGCCGCUCGGCUCAGAUUGCAGCCCUAAUUAUGAUUAUAUAUCUUGCCUUAGACCCUCAGUUCUGCAAAAGAGCAAUGAUGUGUGAAAAACUGCAAUUGAACUAAAUGGACACUAAAACUGAAAAACGGUGAAUUGGUGAACUUUCGCAGCUUGAUUCUGUCAGACAUGUACUUUUUUCAUUAAAUCAUACGUAGAAAUUGAACUACAAGAACUUUAGAAAAUUUUCCAAAUACAAACCACAAACAAAAGCUAUUUUCUUGACUAGUCGCCUAGUCCAACAUCAUAAAAAUAGAAGAUCACCAACUGUGCAAAAGAAACCCUACAUAUAUCUAUAUACCUUAUAAAUAUCCACUGCCAUUCCUGUUACAGACCUCAUUAUUGUCGAUCUCCUUCAUUGUCGUCAUUAUUCAUUUCACUUGUCAGAGUAGUAAUCAUCAAUAUUUUCUUCAUUGUCCGAGUAGUAGUCUUCAUCUUCAGCAUUUUUUCCUUGAGCCAGCUUCUUGUUGUAAGCUCUCAAUUUUGUGUUAUAUUCAGCCUUCCUCUUCUCUGUCUUAGUUACAGAGGUGACCUUCUCACCACCUACAUCCUCCUUUCCCUGAUCAGGAUUUAUACUUUUUCCUGGUACCAAACCAGAAAUUUUGUCGUUAUUAUCACCUUGAGAGACUUUAGCGCCCUCUUCCGGUACCAAAACUUUGCGGUGAAAGUUUUUAUGCCAUCUACAUGCUCUACAAAACAUACCUAGGCUCCAUGGAGAAACAUCAGGUAGGUACUCAUUGCAACCAUCAGUUGCAUGCUUACCCAAAUCUGCUGCAUGAUUCCUUUGACAUUCUUUGUAAACCUCAGUAAUUUGACUUGGAUUUGAUUGAGGUGGGGUUAUUGGUCGAUCCGCUUCAUGAUCAGCCUUGUUGCUCUCUUCCGGUACCAGAACUUUGCGGUGAAAGUUUUUAUGGCAGCUACAUGCUGCACAAAACAUACCUAGGCUCCAUGAAGAAACGUCGGGUAGGUACUCAUUGCAAUUAUCAGUUGCAUGCUUACCCAACUCUGCUGCAUGAUUCCUUUGACAUUCUUUGUAAAUCUCAGUAGCCUGACUUGGUCUUGAUUGAGGUGUGGUUAUCAGCCGAUCCGCUUCAUCAACAACAAAAUUAUUGACAUCUUUUGAUAACUCCGGCUCUCUGUUGCUGAUCGAACCAACUUGUUUCUCAUUGAUCAGAUCGCUUUCAAUAGCCUUUUCCAGAACCGGUUGUUUGUUCUCACUGCCACCUCCUUCCUCCUUUCCCGGAUCAUUUAUAGCCUUGUUGCUCUUUUGGGGUACCAGAACUUUGCGGUGAAAGUUUUUAUGGCAACUACAUGCUUCACAAUACCUAGGUAUGCUCCUUGAACUAUCAAGUAUGUACUCAUUGCAACCAUCAGUUUCAUGUUUACCAACCUCUGCUCCAUGAUUCCUUUGACAUUCUUUGUAAACCUCAGUGAUGAUAUUCUCUCCUUCCAUGGCUAUUUCAAUAUAAUAUCUAUUUUAGGUACUUUGUAUGCUCUGCAACUAUUUAGUCUUCCCACUUCAAACCAAUAGAACUGUCGCCAUGAUGUUUAUAACAAAUUAGAAAACCUUCGAUAAGUAGAGAUGUUUAUAACAAGUCGCUUAGACUUAUUUAUUUCUUAGCUUCACCAAUCAUCUUCUACAUGGUUAGUGGCCGGCCGACUAAUGUAACAAAUUUUCAAUUGCACAAUUGUAGGUCAAUGCAUUUUGUUAAUGACAGAAUCAUCUCAUUUUUAAUUGAAAUGUAUAUCGAACAUGAAAUUCAAUGGUGCCAAGUCAAUGGUGCUUUGUCCUCUAUGGCAUGAACCGCGUUAGGGAUUAUAAAUAGGUGCCUUUGAGUUGACAAUUUUCCCUUACUUAUAUGAUAAGUGAUAAAUAUGUGCUCUAACGCACUUAUAUUAGGAUUCUCUUUGGUCAUUGCGCCGUACUGAAAAAUGAAGCAAAGAGUUUAAUACUUUUCCAGCUAUCCAUUUUUUUUCUUUUCAAUAUAUGAUGCAGUUGCUCUGUCGCUUUGCACUGUAAAAAAUGUACUCGAUGCAGUAAUAGCUAGGUUAAUUGAACACAUUCGGCGGCAUGGUUCUUAUAUUUUUCGUAUCGUACAAUAAAACAGUCUAAAGCCACGUAUUCAAGGCCAAAAAUUAGACUCAUGGCACUAGAAGAAAGUAAAAAUACAACAUAAUUCCGUGGCCUAGUUAAAAUUAGUUUCCAUUAGAUACUUGAUCUCCAAUGUUGGGAACUGAUUUAUCGAUCAGUCACGACUCAGGCAUUAAACUGUGUUCCAACUCAAGUGUCUUGUUUAUCAACUCUUCCAUAAUCCAAUCUAACUCUGCCUUUGGAAGUGGCUGUGCCUCAGAGACAUACUCCAGCCCACUUAGCUUCAAGACUCCAUCUAAUACCGAGGUAAUUCCAGUAAAAUCCAAUCCACUCACCUUUGUUUUAAAAAUUUUGUACUGAUAACCACACCGUAGCAUUACAAUACAUACAUUGCAACCAUCAGUUUGAUGCAUACCUAAUGUUGCCACAUGAUUCCUUUGACAUUCUUUGUAAACCUCAAUAGAAGUACUCUCUCCUUCUAUGCUUAUUCACUAAUAAUUUCACUGUAUGUUCUGCAUCUACUGUCAUUAGAGCAAGAGAAUGAAGAAUUGUAGGGACUCAUAUACUACACUGUUACAUUCAAUGGAUGAGGCAGAUUUUGUAAUCUGUGCUGGUGUUUGAAUUUCAAUUAGACUUUACUCAAUAACGUUUUAUCUAAACCAAAAACAAUUGGAGUAAUAACUUUGUUUGGUCAUUAAAUAGCCACAAGAGCAAUGCAUGCUGAGUUGUUGACACUGUUGAUGAUAGGAAUGAUAGUGUGGAAAAGUGUUCAAGAAGGCAGGACACCCUGUAUGUGAUAAGGAGCAUUAUUAGUUAGCAUUAGACAUCGAUUUCCACUUAUAUGAUUUCUCAAAUUCCUGAAACAACCAGUUGAUUUGCAAAUGCACAUAAUGUGGUACAUAACUCAAUUCAAUUGAAAUAAAAAGAACGACGUCAUUGAUCAAAACAAUUCAAAUGUACAUACGUUGUUGCUUGUACAUGAGAGUGAAGGAGAAGAUUAUCAUCAACACAUAUUAAGAGUUGAAGACCAUUGAAGCUGGGCUGAAGCAGGAAAAUAUUUGAAUUAUAAGAAGCUGCAGGUACAAUUUUGUGGCUUCAUUCAAAAUCCUUGCAGUGCUAUUUCAUAUCAUUUCUUUCAGACAAGCAUAUUGAGAACAGAAGAGGGUCUUUCAUCGUGAGAACGUGCGAAUCCAAUGAUUCAAAUAAACUCAAACCCUUGCAAUUUGAGCUUCAGAAAGUUCUUAAAAAUGAUAUUUUCAAAAACUAAACACAAAAGAGCAACUACAUAUAGAAUUGCCAAAAACAAGUUCUUGACAUAAGAACUAUAUCCACCACCUUUCCAGUAGACUAGCCAACACAAAAUAUUGCCAGAAACAGGUUCUUGACAAAUCUCAUUAUUCUGUCCUUCAUUGUCGUCGUUAUUCAUUUCAGAAUCUGACUUAAAGGGUAGUCGUCGUCAUCUUCCUGCAAAUAAAAUUGUUUACAUAACCAGUUAACCAAAUUCAUGAAUAAGAAUAUUAUUAAUUAGCAAAAAUUCUAUAACUAUUUCUUUCUUACUGACCCCAUCAAUCUCUUCUACAUCGUCCUCGUAAGCUCUCAAUUUCUUGUUAUAUUCAGCGUUCUCAUUCGCUGCCUUAGCUACAUAAGGAGCUUUCUCGACAUCAGACAUUAGCCUCCAUUUCUCUCCACAAGCUCUGCCAACAACUAAGAUCAGACGUCUUUAUUGUCGGGAUGCUCCACGCGGUAAGUUUUCCUGAAAUCUUGCAGGAAAAACAUGUAGGAAUUUUUAGGCUUCUUUGAUUUAUUUGGAUCUUUAGCUAUCCUUUCUGCAGCUGCUCGCUUUUUACUAGCACUACAUGUCAUGAGGCUGGUAAGAGAUCUUUCUUUCUUUUCCAGAGGCUGGCUAUUGAUCUUUUGUGCCAUAUGAGACUUACUCUUCCCUGUUUUCAAACAUUCAGGGUUAGUGUCUCUUGACUGAUUAGGCCUUGAAGGCGGUAUGUUUGUCUGUUCAUUCACUUCAUCCUCAGUAGUCUGAGCUGGUAUUGAUUGAUCAGGUGUGCUUAUCUGUUCAUCCAAUCCAUCCUCAGUAGUACGAUCAAUAACAAGUUUGCUGACAUCUAUUAAUGACUUCUGCUCUUUCUUGCUGCUACUCCCACCAACUUGUUUUUCACUCACCUGGUCACUUUCAAUAGCCUUUUCCAGAAACAUUUUUUUGUUCUUGCUACCACUUCCCUCUUCCUUUCCCUCGUAACCAUUUAUACUCUUUUCUGGUACCAAACUUGAAACUUUGUUCAUGUUGUCACCUUGAUUGGCUUCAGCAACCUUUUCCUGUAUCGGAACUUUGCAAUGAAAGUUUCUAUGGCAUCCACAUACUUCACAAAACUUACCUUGGGGCAUUGAAAUAUCAGAAAUGUACUCAUUGCAACCAUCAGUUGAUUUCCUACCUAAAGCUGCUGCAAAAUUCCUUUGGGAUUCUUUGUAAGUAAAGGUACCGGCCAUCUCCUUCCAUGGCUAUUUCACUAUAAUUAAUAUCGAUCUAUCUUAACCCUUAAGCUUCUGUAUGUGUUGCAUCUAUUUAUAACAGGAGCCAGAUGAAACUUGUUACAUACAGUGAAUCUAUUGAUGAGGCAGAAGCACAGUACAUAUUGUGAACUGUGCUGGUGUUUGAAUUUCAAUUAGACUUGACUCAAUAUUGUCUUAUCGAUCUUAUCUUGUUAAACCAAAAACAAUUAAUAACAUUGUUUGGUAAUUAAUUAGCAACAAGAAUACAUGAUCAUGCAUGUUGACACGGUUAAUUAUAAAUGAAACAGUCAGUAUUAUCUUGGGAUUAAUCUUCUUUUUUUUUUUGUUAAAGGUCUUGGGAUUAAUCUAGAGUCAUGCAUGUUGAUCAAAAAAAUGAUAAGUCAAAAGUAUAAUAUUGUUGUGUGGAAAAUACAUGAAGAAGGAACGUAUUUCCUUGCGAGAGCAAGUUUAUCCAAUGAAGAAGAUCAAGUUAAUUUAUGGUCUACCAAACCUUAAACAUUUAUGAACAUAAAAACUAUUACAAGGAGAUAUUUGAGGUUUAGAAAAGUUUCAUAUAUUAGCAGCAACUAUUUCUGUCAUUCUUUCUUCUCGAUCAUAGUCCUCUUAAGCUAAAGGUGUUUCUGAAUGCUCUUGCUUCAAACAUAUAUAUGAUAAAAAGGUACGAGAGCAAGAGAGAUGCUAUAUCUACAUAUUUACCAUUUAAGUAUAUCUUAUAAGGUGGCGAUGAAUGCCCCAUAUGUCGCGUUAAGAUGCCGACUAAUGAAAAAGAAUUCAAGUUGUUGCUAGUUUAUAAGAGUGGACCAGGAUUAUCAACAACGCGUAUCAAGAGCACUUCAUCAUUCAUUCAUUCCAGAGGCCAGCAGUUGAUUUUGAUCUUGUAUAUAAUUACUUGUACCCUUCAACACUGUUAACCUAAACCAUAUUGAACUCGACAUACCAUUAAACACAAAUACUAAUUUAUCAUAAAGUCUAUCUUUAAAUCAUUUUUAUGACCAUUACUACCCUUAAAUUAUUAUUUUUUCUUAUAAUUAUAUGGAUAUAAAAGGAAAAUAAUCAAUCCAUGUUAUAAGAUUUGGCCUAAUCUAGAGUUAUGCAUGAUACUCGAGUUCAUAAGGUUUGGUCGAGAGUCCAGACAUGAGGCAAUUUCCAAUUGCAUUAAUAUAGCAACUCGAUCGACUUUCUCAAACCUCAAUUAUAAAUAUAACUUUUCUUUCUUUGUUUCUUCUUGUGGAGAUUUAAUUCUUGUGUUUGCUUUGUGAUUUUUUGAAAGAAACCAAUUAAUUAAGAUGGAAGUUCAACAUGAUUAUGAUUGUGAUGUAAAAGUAACACAAACAAAGAAAGAACAUAAUAAUAAUACUUGUGGCGAUGAACCAGAAGUGAGUUUAAAAUUUCAAUUCAACCUUGAAUGUCAUGAUGAAUUCCGUGAUGUAGAUAUAGAAAGAGGAGUAAAUAUAGAGUGGUUAAGUGGACCAAAAUAUUAUAUAAGUGAAAAAGACGUAGAGCUUAGUUUCGAAGAAUUGGUGACUUUUGAACAGUUAGGAGAUUGUGUAUGGGAAAUUAUUUCAACUCGUAAUCUUUGUGAAAGCAUUGUUGAAGGUUUAUAUAAACAACUAAUUGAUAAACUCGACCAUGAAGGCUUCAUAGCAGUUGAUGUAAACGAGAUUGCAAAAAUUGAUAUUUUGGUUCAAAUAAAUGUUCGCCACAUUGAUAUUACCUAUGUCACAAAUAUUUCUAAUGAGGUUGAUAUUGACAAUUAUGAUGGUUUUGAAGAAGAAUUGGUUACUCAUAUUCAAAAUGAGUCCAUGCAUGAUGAUUAUUUGAUACCUAAGUUAGGUGCAUCAAAAGCUUCUAUUGUCGCUUUGGAAAGUAGGAUUCUGAAGAAUGAAGAUUCAAUAGAAGAUAUUUGUACAAUUUGUCGAGAUGAAUUUUUGGUUGGGGAAGAAAUAAUAAAGAUGCCGUGUUCUCAUAUAUAUCAUGUCAAUUGUAUUUUAAAUUGGUUGGAAAACGGGCAUGUAUGUCCUAUAUGUCGUUUCGAGCUGCCUAUAAACGAAAUCAUUGAUGUUGAUGAUGAUGAUAGUGAACACCUAGAAGUCGAUGAAAUCAUAAAUGUUGAUGAUGAUGAUGAAAGUGAAAGUGAACCUAUGGAGGAGGAACACCUGGAAGUCGAUGAAAUCAUAAAUGUUGAUGAUGAUGAUGAGAGUGAAAGUGAACCUAUGGAGGAGGAAUUUUACGAGGGAGAAUUUGAAAUUUUUUGAAUAAAAUAAAAUAUUAUUUAAAUAUUAUGUGUAAUUUUACUAUUUGAUGCAUUGAUUUUGAAAUAAAUGUCAAAUUGAAUAGUAGCCGUCUAUCUAUAAACUAUUGUUUAUUAUUAUAUUUUAAUAAUACUCAUCUCUCUGUAGAUCUGAUCUGGAUCAAGCAGACACACUCUGUUGUGCUUUGCUUUGUUUGCCAACACUCUCUCUCAUUUCAAAUUUGCUAGCAAAGCCAUGUGGUAUUGAUUGGUUCUUGAUUGAUUGGUUCUUGAUUGAUUUAUUUGUUGAAUAACAACAACAACAACAACAUUACAUUUAAUUGAAGAAAGAUGGGAUCAAGCAGUAGCAGAGAUGCUUCUGCUGCUGCUGCUGCUGGUGGGGGGUCAUCUUCGUCGUCGUCGUCGUUAUCGGGGUUUGGGUCCUCUUGUCUUGGUAUGGGAUCCUCUUCUGCUGCUGCUUAUGAUUCUUCUGAUGAACUUAUUCUUGUAAGUUUUUUUUUUUUUUUUUUUUUUUUAAUUCUUUAAUUUAUCAAGAAAUUAUUGUAUUUGGAUUUGGAGCAUUUCAACACUAGAAACAAACUAUAUGUCACAAUUAGUUGAAUAUUUAGGAAUAUUUCGAUUGUCGAAUAUUCAUGAUUUUUGGGAUUUUUUCACGAUUUAGAGCAUAAAUAAAUUAUGAUUAUGUUUUUUUUUUUUGCUUAAUUUUUAGGAAUCUAAUAAUCGGAACAAACAAUUUGGUUCAUCCCAAGAUGAAUUUAUGAAGCGCAAUAAGUCAUGUCGAAAUGCCAAACUUGAAGAAGUAGAAGAACAAUCUACUAGUACUAAUAGAAGAAGCUCUUUCCAUUCCCAUAAUGCUUCUUCUUGGUAUUCAGGUCGUUUACGUUCUCGCUUUAGUUUCAUUCCGGACAUUUUUAGUUUU